RNAcentral lists this ribosomal RNA (253 nucleotides) under uncultured bacterium. Its description in RNAcentral is "partial 16S ribosomal RNA". It matches the Rfam family "Bacterial small subunit ribosomal RNA", at positions 524 to 776 of the family's 1533-position model. The record is from RNAcentral.
UACGUAGGGAGCAAGCGUUGUCCGGAUUCACUGGGUGUAAAGGGUGCGCAGGCGGAUUGGUAAGUCAGGGGUGAAAUCUCACGGCUUAACCGUGAAAUUGCCUUUGAUACUGCCAAUCUUGAGUUCGGGAGAGGUCGAUGGAAUUCCAGGUGUAGCGGUGAAAUGCGUAGAUAUCUGGAGGAACACCGGUGGCGAAGGCGACAUCCUGGACCGGCAUUGACGCUGAGGCGCGAAAGCCAGGGGAGCAAACGGG